Molecule: ribosomal RNA, 497 nt
Filed under: uncultured bacterium
Lineage: Bacteria
Description: partial 16S ribosomal RNA
Rfam family: Bacterial small subunit ribosomal RNA
Source: RNAcentral
GAUGAACGCUGGCGGCGUGCCUAAUACAUGCAAGUCGAGCGAACGGACGAGAAACUUGCUUUUCUGAUGUUAGCGGCGGACGGGUGAGUAACACGUGGAUAACCUACCUAUAAGACUGGGAUAACUUCGGGAAACCGGAGCUAAUACCGGAUAAUAUUUUGAACCGCAUGGUUCAAAAGUGAAAGACGGUCUUGCUGUCACUUAUAGAUGGAUCCGCGCUGCAUUAGCUAGUUGGUAAGGUAACGGCUUACCAAGGCAACGAUGCAUAGCCGACCUGAGAGGGUGAUCGGCCACACUGGAACUGAGACACGGUCCAGACUCCUACGGGAGGCAGCAGUAGGGAAUCUUCCGCAAUGGGCGAAAGCCUGACGAAGCAACGCCGCGUGAGUGAUGAAGGUCUUCGGAUCGUAAAACUCUGUUAUUAGGGAAGAACAUAUGUGUAAGUAACUGUGCACAUCUUGACGGUACCUAAUCAGAAAGCCACGGCUAACUACGUG